Molecule: ribosomal RNA, 583 nt
Filed under: uncultured soil bacterium
Lineage: Bacteria
Description: bacterial SSU rRNA
Rfam family: Bacterial small subunit ribosomal RNA
Source: RNAcentral
GCGGCAGGCUUAAUACAUGCAAGUCGAGGGGCAGCGCGGGUAGCAAUACCUGGCGGCGACCGGCAAACGGGUGCGGAACACGUACGCAACCUUCCCAUAACUGGUGAAUAGCCCUCCGAAAGGAGGAUUAAUACACCGUAACAUAAUGAAGAGGCAUCUCUUUAUUAUUAUAGUAGCAAUACGGUUUUGGAUGGGCGUGCGCCUGAUUAGGUAGUUGGCGGGGUAACGGCCCACCAAGCCUGCGAUCAGUAACUGGUGUGAGAGCACGACCAGUCACACGGGCACUGAGACACGGGCCCGACUCCUACGGGAGGCAGCAGUAAGGAAUAUUGGUCAAUGGACGAAAGUCUGAACCAGCCAUGCCGCGUGAAGGAUGAAGGCCCUCUGGGUUGUAAACUUCUUUUAUAGGGGACGAAAAAAGGGAAUUCUUUCUCACUUGACGGUACCCUAGGAAUAAGCACCGGCUAACUCCGUGCCAGCAGCCGCGGUAAUACGGAGGGUGCAAGCGUUAUCCGGAUUCACUGGGUUUAAAGGGUGCGUAGGUGGGUUUUGUAAGUCAGUGGUGAAAUCUCUAAGCUUAACU